RNAcentral lists this ribosomal RNA (301 nucleotides) under uncultured bacterium. RNAcentral describes it as "partial 16S ribosomal RNA". It matches the Rfam family "Bacterial small subunit ribosomal RNA", at positions 509 to 807 of the family's 1533-position model. The record is from RNAcentral.
CAGUAGCCGCGGUAAUACGUAGGGUGCGAGCGUUAAUCGGAAUUACUGGGCGUAAAGCGUGCGCAGGCGGUUCGUUAAGACAGAUGUGAAAUCCCCGGGCUUAACCUGGGAACUGCAUUUGUGACUGACGGGCUAGAGUAUGGCAGAGGGGGGUAGAAUUCCACGUGUAGCAGUGAAAUGCGUAGAGAUGUGGAGGAAUACCGAUGGCGAAGGCAGCCCCCUGGGCCAAUACUGACGCUCAUGCACGAAAGCGUGGGGAGCAAACGGGAUUAGAUACCCCCGUAGUCCCUGUCUCUUAUAC